This 305-nucleotide ribosomal RNA is filed under the name uncultured bacterium. RNAcentral's name for it is "bacterial SSU rRNA". It matches the Rfam family "Bacterial small subunit ribosomal RNA", at positions 334 to 655 of the family's 1533-position model. The record is from RNAcentral.
CUAUCCUAGGGAGGCAGCAGUGGGGAAUAUUGCACAAUGGGCGAAAGCCUGAUGCAGCAACGCCGCGUGAACGAAGAAGGCUCUUGGGUCGUAAAGUUCUGUUCUGAGGGAAGAAGAAAGUGACGGUACCUCAGGAGAAAGCCCCGGCUAACUACGUGCCAGCAGCCGCGGUAAUACGUAGGGGGCAAGCGUUGUCCGGAAUUAUUGGGCGUAAAGAGUACGUAGGCGGGCUGUUAAGCGCAAGGUGAAAGGCAUAGGCUCAACCAAUGUGAGCCUUGCGAACUGGCAGACUUGAGUGCAGGAUG